GAAAGAUGAAACAAACGAAAAACUUGAUUUAAUAACAUAGGAAUUUCAUAACCUUUUUUUUGUGGUGGUGGUGGGUGGGAUCCUAAAAUCUCAAAUAAAUGGGAAUGAAGACUAAACAAUAAGUGACUUAACAACAAAGAUAAAAGUUGAUCAUAUUAAAAGGUGUAACUGAUUGUCUCAUCCAAGCAUAACUUUAUAUUCAAGAACUUCAAUUAUCACCUCCGUGAUAAUUAUGAGUUCAAGAACUCAUCUCUUCUAGAUCAAGGGCAACUUCUGAAAUAAACUUGAAUUGCUCGGCUGGAACAUCACCUUUUAUUUCUUUUUUAAUUUUUUCCAACCGUGAUUUAUAUGCCUCAAAUUGCUUCAACCUGUUCUCCAACAUGUGUUUAUCUAUUGGCAUUUCUGAGUCAAGGUAUUUCUCCUUGAAUUCUUGUACUUCUUUACGAAGAUCUUCAAAUGCCUCAAAGACAUUUGUUUUGCUCAUAUCAGUAUGAUUCUGUAGGCUAUCAUUUUGUUUCAAUUCAUGAAACUUAUUAAUUACUUUUUCUAUACUUGGGGAGCCAUAGGAAUGUGGUUUUCCAGCUUGUGUAAAGAGAAUAAAACCGACAUCUGCUCCGGUUAGAUUUGAAUAGUCUUUUGCUUUCUUGCCCAAGCCAUUUUUUCUUUUUGAAAAAGCAACUGUGCGAGCUUCUUUAGACUCAAUCAACUUCAUUUCGAUCUUUUGUCUACCCUUUCCACCCCUCUUAUCCAUUGCAAAGUAAAUAAUUAGAGAAGAGAAAAGAUGUGUUGGUUGAAUAAGUCUGAGCAAUUUUGAAAAGAAUGCUUGUGUAAUUUAUAGUAGCUAUACAAGUUGGUUUGUCACAAGUAAUGACACGUUUAUUGAAAAUUUUAAUAUUAUAAGUUUAAUCAUCACGUGUAUUGUCAUGUAUACUUAUUGUGUUCACAUUACGACUUGAUUUGUCACAAGUAUUGACAGGUUUAUUUAAUAUGUUUAUAUUAUAAAUUUAAUCAUAAUGUGUUUUGUCAUGUAUGCUUAUUGUGUUCACAUUAUGAGUCUGUUGUCGCGAGUAUUGACAGGUUUAUUUAAUAUUUUCAUAUCAUUAGUUUAAUUAUACGUGUCUUGUCAUGUAAUAUUUUCAUAUUAUAAGUUUAAUCACCACACGUCUUGUCAUGUAUACUUUUUGCAUUCACAUUAUGAGUCAGUUUGUCAUGAGUAUUAACAAGUUUAUUGAUAUUUUAAUAUUAUAAGUUUAAUUAAUCAGCACAUGUCUUGUUAUGUAUACUUAUUGUAUUCACACUAUGAGUUAGAUUGUCACGAGUAUUGACAGGUUUAUUUGAUAUUUUUAAAGUAUAAGUUUAAUCGUCACGUGUUCUGUCAUGUAUGUUUAGUGUUCACAUUAUGAGUCAGUUACAAUGAGUAUUGACAGGUUAAUUUAAUACUUUCAAAUUAUAAGUUUAAUCAUCACGUGUCUUGUCAUGUAAUAUUUUCAUAUUAUAAGUUAAAUCAUCACGAGUAUUAACAGGUUUAUUUAAUAUCUUCAUAUUAUAAGUUUAAUUGUCACAUGUCUUCUCAUGUAUAAAUGUCUAGUAACACUAAAUUUGUUGUGCAUGCGUUACAACUCAUAUAAUAUUGUGCUCACUAAUAUGAGUUAGUUUGUCACGAGUUUAACAAGUUUAUUAAGUAUUUUCAUAGUAUAAAUUUAACUAUCAUGUGUCUUGUCAAGUAUAAAUGUCUAGUAAUACUAAAUUCAUUGUGCAUCCAUUACAACUCUUACAAUAUUGCGCUCACUAGUACACUUUGAGUUAGGCCUAUAAUUAAAUUAUUCUAUAAAAAGAUAUUUAUGCCUUUUAUAAGUUUCAUAUGAAACUAGUUUCUCGACGCGUGCGUCACACGUGUAUGCCUAGUCACACAAUACAAAUUCUGUUAAAUAUUAAUAAUACUCGUUGAAAUAAAAUUGAGUGAACCCUUUAGUACCCCCAUAGUCUAACUUCCUGAGGAUGUCAAAAAUUUCUUAAAAUCGAGUUCAGUGGGGGUAAUAAGACCCCAGCGAAGUUGAAGUUUGUCGUAGCAACUUUGAUCAUAGUUCGAGGAGGUAUUUAAAUGCUUAUCUCAAUAAAAUUUAUAUUAAGAAAAAGUGCACAUUUAUGUAACUAAUCAAUGCAGAUCACCCGUGGAACUAGCCGGAACUCCGCCUUGAAACAGCGGGGGCCGGUGGGUACAGCUAGUCGGGUUCACAAAGCGAUACCCAGAAACACGGAUAUAAAAAAAUAAAAAAUAAAAAUCAAUGCAGAUCAUUAUUUGGUGACAUCUUUAUCGAGAUAAAGAUGACUGAAUGUUCCCUAAUCUAUGAAGAUGAACAAUUAAACUUUUGGAUACAUGUAUUAUUUAUACUAAGCGAAAAAAUAUAUCGUCACCAUUUUUAUUAUAUCAUCAAUUUACAAUUAUCAUAAUAACUUCACAACCGAUCGAUUCAUACCUUUAAGAAUUUCAGUCAUUUUUAGGAAAAUCCUCAUAAAGUAAAAAUUUACAAUUUUACAUAUAUUUUAAAUUAAAUACUUUAUAUUUAUUUAAACUUCUAAAAAAAUCACUAUUAUUUGUAAUCAUUAGCUCUCAUAUCUUAAUUUGUUCUUCUCCCAUUAGUGAUUUCUUUACCUUGAACCUCUUUCAAUUUCUAUUACUUUUAGAACAUAAUCAAUUUUUUUAAUUAUAAUUUGCUAAUAAGUAUACAUUUUUAACCUAAAAAGGUUGUAUGGAUAAAGGAAAAUGAGAUAUAAUAAAAUUAUAAGUUAUUUUUUGUACUUUUAUUAUGAUUAACAUUUCAAUUGAUUUACUAAUCUAGGUAAUAGAAAGAUUCAUUAAAGACGAAAGAUUAAACAAAUGGAAAACUUGAUUUAAUAACAUAGGAAUUUCAUAACAUCUUUUUGUUUUUGGUGGGGUGGGAAAUUUUGGGAGGCCGGGGUGUGGGGGUAAGGGUGUAGGAGGGUGUUCCUAAAAUCUCAAAAAAAAAUGGGAAUGAAGACUAAACAAUAAUUGACUUAACAAUAAAGAUAAAAGUUGAUCAUAUUAAAAGGUGUAACUGGUUAUGUCUCCUCCAACCACAACUUUAUAUUCAAGAACUUCAGUUAUCACCUCUGUGAUAAUUACGAUUUCAAGAACUCAUCUCUUCUAUAUCAAAGGUAACUUCUGAAAUGCCAAAUUGCUCGGCUGGAACAUCACCUUUUAUUUCAUUUUUAAUUUUGUCCAAUCGUAAUUUAUAUACCUCAAAUUGCUUUAACCUAUUCUCCAACAUGUGUUUAUAUGUUGGCAUUUUUGAGUCAAGGUCUUCCUCCUUGAAUGAUUAAAUUUUUACGAAGAUCUUCAAAUGUCUCAAAGACAUUUGUUUUGCUCAUAUCAGUAUGAUUCUGCUGGCUAUCAUUUUGUUUUAAUUCAUGAAACUUAUCAAUUACUUUUUCUAUACUUGGGAAGACAUAGAAAUGUGGUUUUUCAGCUUGUGUAAAAAGAAUAAAACCGACAUCUUCUCCGGUUAGAUUUGAAUACUCUUUCGCUUACUUGCCCAAGCCAUUUUUUCUUUUUGAAAAAGCAAUUGUGCGAGCUUCUUUAGACUCAAUCAACUUCAUUUUGAUCUUUUGCCUACCCUUUCCACCCCUUUUAUCCGUUGUGAAAUAAAUAAUUAGAGAAGAGAAAAGAUGUGUUGGUUGAAUAAGUCUGAGCAAUUUUGAGAGGAUUGCUUGUGUAAUUUAUAGUAGCUAUACAGGUUGGUUUGUCACGAGUAUUGACUCGUUUAUUGAAUAUUUUCAUAUUAUAAGCUUAAUCAUCACUUGUAUUUUCAUGUAUACAUAUUGUAUUCACAUUACGAGUUGAUUUUUCAUGAGUAUUGAACGAUUUAUUUAAUAUUUUUAUAUUAUAAAUUUAAUCAUCGUGUGUUUUAUCAUGUAUGCUUAUUGUGUUCACGUUAUGAGUCUAUUGUCUCGAGUAUUGACAGGUUUAUUUAAUAUUUUCAUAUCAUUAGUUUAAUCAUCACAGGUCUUUUCAUGUAAUAUUUUCAUAUUAUAAGUGUAAUCAUCACACGUCUUGUCAUGUAUACUUUUUGCGUUCACAUUAUGAGUCAGUUUGUCAUGAGUAUUAACAAGUUUAUUGAUAUUUUCAUAUUAUAAGUUUAAUUAAUCGUCAAGUGUCUUGUCAUGUAUACUUAUUAUAUUCACAUUAUGAGUUGGUUUGUCACAAGUAUUGACAGGUUUACUUGAUAUUAUAUUAUAAGUUUAAUCAUCACGUGUUCUGUCAUGUAUGCUUAUUGUGUUCACAUUAUGAGUCUUUUGCAACGAGUAUUGACAGGUUAAUUUAAUACUUUCAAAUUAUAAGUUUAAGCAUCACUUGUCCUAUCAUGUAAUAUUUUCAUAUUAUAAGUUAAAUCAUCACGAGUAUUAACAGGUUUAUUUAAUAUCUUCAUAUUAUAAGUUUAAUUGUCACGUGUCUUCUCAUGUAUAAAUAUCUAGUAACACUAAAUUUGUUGUGCAUGCAUUACAACUCAUAUAAUAUUGUGUUCCCUAAUAUGAGUUGGUUUGUCGCGAGUUUAACAAGUUUAUUAAGUAUGUUCAUAUUGUAAAUUUAACCAUCACGUGUCUUGUCAAGUAUAAAUGUCUAGUAAUACCAAAUUCAUUAUGUAUCCGUUAGAAGUCUUACAAUAUUGCGCUCACUAGUACACUUUGAGUUAGGCCUAUAAUUAAAUUGUUCUAUAAAAAAAUAUUUAUGCCUUUUAUAAGUUUCAUUUGAAACUAGUUUCUCGACGCGUGCGUCACACGUGUAUGCCUAGUCACACAAUACAAAUUCUGUUAAAUAUUAAUAAUACUCGUUGAAAUAAAAUUGAGUGAACCCUUUAGUACCCCCAUAGUCUAACUUCCUGAGGAUCCUAUUCCUCCCCCCACCCCACCCCACCCCCCGCGCUAAAAAAACUCAAUUUUGCAUAUUUUUGUCACUAUUUUGGACUGACAUGACACCUUUUGUCAACCUUUUUAGAUGACGUGACACCUUUGAUGUGGAACCCCAUUUUAUGUUAUAAAGGUGCCAUAUCAGCACAAAAGGGUAUCCAAAAUAUGCUAAAAUUAAGUUCGGUGGGGGUAAUAGGACCCCUGCGAAGUUGAAGUUUGUCAUAAUAACUUUGAUCAUAGUUUGAGGAGGUAUUGAAUGCCUAUCUCAAUAUAAUUUAGAUUAAGAAAAAGUGCACAUUUAUGUAACUAAUCAAUACAGAUCAUUAUUUGGUGACAUCUUUAUCGAGAUAUAGAUGACUAAAUGUUCCCUAAUCUAUGAAGAUGAACAAUUAAACUUUUGGAUACAUGUAUUAUUUAUACUAAGCAAAAAAUAUAUCAUCACCAUUUGUAAGAUACCCCGCAAAAUCUUAUGUUGAUAAUCAGCUCUUUUAACUCCAAAAAGCUUUUUUGAAGGUCCAACACUUAGAACAUUUUAGCUAGGUGUUCAACACUUAAUCUUAUUUUAAGCCUUCAAAGUCGGAGAUUUAUUUGACGUCCUUUUCGACAUUCAUUUUUUAUUUUUCAAGUUGCGUUGUGAUGGGGCAAGUCAAUAGUACAUUCCAGGUGAGUUUCAGAAUUUUCAAAAUCAGUUUAGGGCAUGUUUGGAUUUUGAAACAGUAGCAUCCUGCGAUUAGCAUGCGACGCAUGCUCCAUCUCACAGUCCCUAGCAUGCGAUAGAGCAUGCGACGCAUGCUCCAACUUAGUGUAUUAAGGGUAAAUUGAACUUUUUCCCCACCCUAUAUAUAUAUAUUCAAAAACACGGGAUUAAACCCAUUUUGAACCAAAAUACACUCAAAAUUCUCAAAAUCCUCUCAAGAACACCUUAGGCAUUCAAUUGGGGAUUUAAGUUCAAGAAAUUCAACCACAAACUUUGGGAAAUCAAGAACUAAGGUAUUCAUAGUGUUCAUUCAUGGAUUCCUUUCAUCCGUGAAGCCUAAGAAUCAAGUUUUAAACUAUGAAUUAUGAUAUUCAUGUAAUGGGUUGAUUUUGUUCAUGUGGUUGUUGUUGUAUGAUUCCCAAGUUGAAAUCUUUAUGUGUUGUUCACGAAACAAUGAAAGUAUGUGAAUUAAAACUUGUGCAAUUUAGUUGAAUUAUGGUGUUUUGACGCAUUAAUUGAUAAUCAUACCUAUGCCCUAAGUGGUGCAUGCAAGGAGUUUGAUAAAAUGCCUAAGAUACUAGAAACCAUGCCCAAUAGCUAAAUUAUGACCUAAAUGAUGAAUGCAUGAUAUUCCCUUAUGAUCAAUAUGACUUCCAUGAUAUUAUUGUGCAUUAUGAUAGUUGAUGGAAUGCUCAUGAAACUAGAUUGAUGAACCUAUGACUUUGAUUAUAUGCAUUCCUACCAUGUACAAGAUUAUGAUAAACAUGUGUUCCAUGAAAUCCCAAUUUAUUGUAUUAUGAAUUGUUGAUGAUUGUCAUGUAUUCAAGAAAGUCAUGCUUUGUCAGUUUCCUUCUAUUGAGUCCUUGGGGUACUUGUACCCGAAAAUAUUAUUGUGUGCCUAGAGUCAGUGUCAUGUUGUCACGAUAUCCUUAGUCAAGCCCCGAUCCAUAGAAUUCAGUCAGUCAUGUGACUCAGGAAAGUUCAGAAAUUCAGUAAUCUUAGUAGUAUCUGUCAGUCCUCGAAAAUUAGUUAAAUCAGUUUGGUUCAGUCCAGUUUAAUCAUAUUCAGUGUCUAUUCAUAUGAGAGUAGGAUUUAGCACCGAGCAAACCCAAGGAUGGAAACUCACCUGUUAGUUUAGGGUGUGAUUCUUAGAAGCAAUCCUUGUGUUCCAGAGCUACGUAGCCAGGUAGGUUGAGAUAUCCAACCUGCCAGUUGAGGGUUGAUGAGGUGGAUUAACCUGCCAAUUUUGGGUUCCCACCAUUCUCAUUAGAGUAUCUGCCAGUUGAGGAUCACCCACGGCUUGUCCUUACCGGUGGCGCGGUAUUGAAACUCUUCCAAUUGGGGUUAUAAAUUGGAACGCAACUCAGUUAUAUUACUUAUUUGGGGCAUGUCGGUUUGAUGACUACUUCCCACAGUUUCAGUAACAUUAUCAGUAAAAGAACUUAGAUAGUUCUUCAAAUUUCUGGACUGUCAAAUACAGUCACCUCAACUCAAUAGGGAACUCAGAUAGUUUCAUCAAAUUCAGGCCUGUUAGAUACAGUCACUCAUGUUAUCAGUAUAUCAGUUAUUAGAAUUCAUGUUAUCAGUCAUAUUAGAUAUCAGUAACUCAGGUUAUCAGUAUUCAGAUUCAAAAAUCAUGUUAUUACGAUAUCAGUGUCAGUCAUUAUGUUUUAUGUAUGUGUUCUCACGCUCAUGAUAGUCAGUCUGUUAGUAUUAUUUCUCAUGUAUAUGAACCCCUUGCAUUCAGCCUACCUCACAUGCAUACCAGUACAUUCAAUCGUACUGAUACAUUCGCGCUAUGUGGUUUUAAUACCAUAGGUUCAAAGGCACGAGAUCCAGAGCGUCAGUAGCAGUCCAGUUCCAGCAAUCAGAAUUAGCAGUGAGUCCUCAUCCUUUGAGGACAUGGUUAUUACCUUAUCAUUUCAGUAUUCGAGACUUAGUUUAUUUUAGUAGUUGGAGUUAGUUGGGGACAUGUCCCAUCAACUCCUUAUUCAAAAAGUUAGAGGCUUUUCAGACUAUCAUGUUUCAGAUAGUUUAUUUUAGUUGUGUUGGGUAUUUCAUACCCCAUUAAAAUGUUGUGUUUUAUCAUAUUUGAACCUUAUGGCCUUCCAGUCUUUAUUUCCAUAUUUAUUCAAUAUAUUAUGUAGUGUACAGGUACAGAUAUCAGUCAUGGGUUAGCUUGUGGUUCUUCAGAGUCAUGAGUAUCGUGUAGCACUUUGGGUACCAAAUUUGGCUCGUUAAAAACUUAGUAUCAGACCUAAGAAGUCUGAAAGCAGCAUCUAGUAGAGUCUUGUGCAUGGGUGUUUGCGCGCCACAUUUAUGUACAUGAGGCUAUGAGAUGUUUUAGGAACAAUUUCCCUUAUUUCAGUAUUCAUGUCGUGCCAGUGAGCAUAAUCUCAAGUUAAACUCUCAGUCUAAUCCAUUUCUCCUCUUCAUUUACAGAACAUGCCUCCCAAGAGAAGAAAUCAGCCUGUCCAAGAAGAUUUCUUGGCCAAAAGUAUUUCUCAUGCGAAGUUUAGAGCCGCAUUCACUACUCUUGCUCAGUCAGUUACUGCUCAGAAUGAAUGACCAGUAGUUUUUUCGGCUAACCCAAUGGCCAAUUCAGCUAUAUCUAGGAUUUGGGACUUCACCCGAAUGAACCCUCCAUCCCUUUUUGGGUCUAAGUCAGAUGAGGACCCUUAGGAAUUCAUUGAUCAGGUUCAGAAGUUUACAGACAUCAUGAGGGUGAUUGCCGUUGAGAGUGAUGAGCUAGCUGCAUAUCAGUUGCAGGAUAUAGCUUACACUUGGUUCAAACAGUGGAAGUCAGAGAGGUCAGAUGAUGCAUGUCUUAUAGAGUGGGAGGAGUUUGUCACUGCAUUCUUAGAUAGAUUCUUUCCCCAAGAGCUGAGAGAGGCUAAGGUGCUAGAAUUUAUCAACUUCAGGUAGGGAAACAUGAUGGUGAAAGAGUAUUCUCUUAAGUUACUCAAUUAGCCAGAUAUUCUCCUCAUGUGGUUGCAGAUAGCAGGGCCAAGAUGAGUAAGUUUGUUUCUAGGUGAAUGAUAGUGUGGUGAAUGAGUGUAGGUCUGCGAUAUUGAAAAGUGACAUGACCAUAGCCAGGAUUAUGAAUCGUGCUCAACAAAUAGAAAAUCAGAAGAUUAAGAUGAGAGAGAAGCAGAAUAAAAGAGCAAGGUCAGGUAGUUUUAACUUUGCUCAGCCUAAGUCAGAAGGAGAAAACUGUUCUCAUUUUUGCCCUAAGUCAUUAGUUCCAGCUCUUUCAUCCUCUAGUGCCCCAGUAUCAAAAUUCAGAGACGGCAACAGAGAUAGAACGUCAGGCUCUCAGUCUCAGGGCAGUGUUAGCAGUGCCCGAACUAAUCCUCUUUGUCAGACUUGUGGCAAGCACCAUCAAGGUAUUUGUAGAGCUGGCAGCGACAUUUGUUUCAGAUGUGUCAAGCCAAGACACAGAGUUUGAGAGUGUCCUCAGACAGGUUCUUAUUGUCAGUAGAAUCGUUCUACAACUCAGUCUGGUCGCCCAAACCAGUAGGGCGCCACUUCCAGCACUACAAGUGGGCAAUGCCCAAAUAGACUCUAUGCUCUCCAGACCUGAAAAGAUUAGGAAAAUUCUCCUGGUAUGGUUACUGGUAACGUUACAGAUCUUUCAUGUGCACGUUUAUGCUUUGCUAGAUCCAGGAGCUUUCUUUUCUUUUAUUACUUCUUAUAUAGCAGUUGAUUUUGGAGUGAGUCACGAAAUUUUAGCAGAGCCCUUCUCAGUAUCUACCCCAGUAGGUAAGACCAUUAUUGCUCGGUGGGUAUACCAGAACUGCCCGGUCAUGAUAUUUUAGAAAGCCACUUCAGCAGACUUAGUCGAAUUAGAGAUGACUGGUUUCGAUGUCAUUCUCAUCAUGGAUUGGCUUUAUUCCUGUUAUGCCACAGUCGAUUGCAAAAAUAGAAUUAUUCAGUUUCAGUUCCCAAAUGAACCCAUCUUAGAGUGGAGGGGUAGUACUUCAGCUUUUAGAGGUCAGCUUAUUUUUUACCUUCGGGCACGGAAAAUAAUAUCUAAGGGAUGUGUCUAUCAUCUUAUUCAUGUUAAGGACACUAGUUCCGAAACUUCCAGUCUUAAAUCGUCCUAGUGGUUAAUAAAUAUUCAAAUGUCUUUCUUGAAGAUCUCUCAUGAAUUUCUCUCGAAAGGGAAAUAGACUUCGGCAUUAAUCUUCUUCCAGAUACUCAGCUCAUAUCUAUUCUGCCAUACAGAAUGGUACCAACAGAACUCAGAGAGAUGAAAGAACAGUUGAAGGACCUCCUAGAUAAGGGAUUCAUCAGGCCUAGUGUUUCCCCAUGGGGUGCACCAGUCUUGUUCGUGCGCAAGAAAGACGGUUCUCUCAGGAUGUGUAUUGAUUAUCAUCAUCUCAAUAGGUCACGAUCAAGAACAAGUAUCAUUUUUCCAGAAUCAAUGACUUAUUUCACCGACUUCAAGGUGAUAGUUACUUCUCCAAAAUAGACCUCAGAUCGGGCUAUCAUCAGCUCAGAGUCAGAGAAAGUGAUAUUCCAAAAAUAGCUUUUCGUACUCAGUACGGUCACUUUGAAUUCCUAGUUAUGUCCUUUGGCCUUACCAAUUCCACAGUAGCUUUCAUGGACUUGAUGAACCGUGUGUUCAAGCAGUACGUGGACAUAUUUGUCAUAGUCUUCAUAAAUGAUAUUUUGGUCUAUUCUCGCACUGAGCGAGAUCAUGCAGACCAUCUCAGAAUAGCACAUCAGACUCUCAAAGACCAUCAGCUAUUCACUAAAUACAUUAAGUUCGAGUUUUGGAUAAGGUAUGUAGCAUUCCUUGGUCAUAUAAUUUUCGUGAUGGCAUUAGAGUCGAUUCUCAAAAGACCGAAGCAGUAAGAAAUUGGCCUUGCCCCAUCUCUUCAUCAGAUAUAAGGAGUUUCUUAGGUUUGGAUGGCCAUUAUAGAUGGUUUGUUGGAGGAUUUUCAUCCAUUGUGUCCCCUAUGUCCAGAUUGACUCAGAAGAAAGUCAAAUUUCAGUGGUCAGAUCUUUGCGAGAAUAUUUUUCAGGAGUUGAAGACUAGACUCACUUUAGCUCUAGUUUUAGAUCCUCCAGAUAGUCUAGAUGGCUUUGUAUUUUAUUGUGAUGCAUCCAUAGUAGGUUUGGGUUGUGUCCUCAUGCAGCAUAGUAAGGUCAUAGCUUAGGCCUCCAGAUAGCUUAAGUCCCAUGAGAAGAAAUAUCCUACUCAUGGUCUUGAGUUAGUAGUCGUAGUAUUUGCCUUAAAGAUUUAGAGGCAUUAUCUAUACGUAGUUCAUGUAGAUGUGUUCAUAGACCAUAUGAGCCUUCAGUAUGUCUUUUCUCAAAAAGACCUCAAUCUUUAUCAGAGGAGGUGGUUAGAGAUAUUGAAAGAUUAUAACAUGAGUGUCUUUUAUCACUCGGGCAAGGCCAAUAUAGUGGCCAACGCUCUCAGUAGACUAUCUAUGGGUAGUGUUUCUCAUGUUGAGGACAGUAAGAAGAAGUUAGCUCAGGAAGUCCAUCAACUUAUCAGACUAGGUUUUCGCUUAGUCGAUACAACAUAGGGUGAUAUAUGGGUUCAGAGUAGUUCGGGAUCAUCUCUAGUGUUCGAGGUGAAAGAAAAGCAAGAUAGAGAUCCCAGCUUUGUCAAGAUAAAAGAGUCAGUCAAGGACCAGAAAAUAGAGGUUUUCUCCUAAGGGGGAGAUGGUGUCUUGCGUUGUCAGGGUCGUCUCUGUGUCCCAGGUAUAGAUGAAUUAAGGUAGCGAAUUCUGGCAGAAACGCAUGGUGCAUGAUACUCUAUUCAUCCAGGGGCUACUAAAAUAUACUGCGACUUACGGGAGAUCUAUUAGUGGAGUGGGAUGAAGAGAGAUGUUGCAGAGUUUGUGGCUAAGUGCUUUACAUAGAGUAUCAGAAGCUUAGUGGUCCCAUGUAGGAGUUCAUUAUUCCCACCUGGAAAUGGAAAGAAGUGAACAUAAACUUCGUGACGGGUUUUCCUCGAACUCAUAAUCAGCAUGAUUCAGUUUGGGUCAUUAUAGACAGGAUGACCAAAUCAGCUCAUGUCCUUCCAGUUCAUACCUCUUAUUUAACUGAGGAUUAUGCCAAACUUUAUAUCAGGGAGUUGGUCAGAUUGCACGGUGUUCCAUCAUCUAUUAUUUCAGACAGAGGUACCAGUUUACUUCUCACUUUUGGAAAGCGUUCCAAAAGGGUCUUAGUACCCAAGUCCAUAUCAGUACAUCCUUUCAUCCUCAGAUAGAUGGUCAAGCAGAAAGGACCAUUCAUACCCUAGAAGAUAUGCUACAAGAGUGUGCAAUUGAUUUCAAGGGUAGUUGGGAUGACCACUUGCCUUUGAUUGAGUUUGCAUACAACAACAACUAUCAUUCCAGUAUUAAGAUAGCUCCAUUCGAAACUCUCUAUAGUAGGAAGUGCAGAUCUCCAGUUGGGUGAUUUGAGAUUAGUAAGGCCUCAGUUAUAGGGCCUUACUUAGUAUUCAACGCCUUAAAAAAGUCCAGUUGAUCAGAUAAAGACUUCGGGUUGCUCAAAGCCUACAGAAGUCUUAUGCAGAUGUGCGCAGAAAGGAUCUCAAGCUUGAGAUAAGUGAUUUUUUCUAUCUAAAGAUCUCUCCCAUGAAGGGAGUGAAGAGAUUCGGCAAGAAAGGAAAGCUCAGUCCCCAAUAUGUCGUUCCCUUCAAGAUUCUCAAUCAUUUCGACAAGGUAGAUUAUGAGCUCGAGUUGCCUUCAGAUCUAGCCUCAGUUCAUCCAAUCUUUCAUAUCUCCUUGCUCAAGAUGUGUAUAGGUGACCUAUCAGUCGUAGUCCCUAUUCAGAGCAUAGAUGUUCAGAACAACCUCUUUUAUGAAGAGAUUCCAGUCAAAAUUCUAGACUAUUAAACUCAUAGACUGAGGAAUAAAGAAGUCCCUAUAGUCAAAGUUCUUUGGCGAAAUCAGUCCAUUGCGGGAGCUACUUGGGAAGCAGAAGUAGAUGUGUAAAGUACCCUUACCUCUUCUCUGCCAACUCAGACCAAGCUCAAGGUAACAGUUCUCCUUAAGUUUAUUUAGUUUCAUGUUCAGAAUCCCAUUAUAAAUUUGGUAUAAUACACCAUUGCAUAUUCAGUCACGCAUUCAUAUGUCAGUUCAAUUAUAUAAUCAUAUAUCAGAUAUGCAUUCUCAUUUUGAGAACCUCAGUUAUCAGGAAUUUCAAUCAUGUAUUCAUGAAUCAGUUAUCCAUGCAUCAGAUAUGCAUGUUCAGAAUUCAGUCAUGUCAGCCAUGAAAUUAUGUUCAGUUGUUUAUGCUUAGUAUUCACGUCAGUUAUCUUUUCUCCCCUCUUGUUCAGUCCCAUUCGGGGACGAAUGUUCCCAAGGGGGAGAUAUUGUAAGACCCCGCAAAAUCUUAUGUUGAUAAUCAGCUCUUUUAGCUCCUAAAAGCUCUUUAGAAGGUCCAACACUUAGAAUAUCUUAGCUAGGUAAGUUAAAUCAUCACGAGUAUUAACAGGUUUAUUUAAUAUCUUCAUAUUAUAAAUUUAACUGUCACGUGUCUUCUUAUGUAUAAAUGUCUGGUAACACUAAAUUUGGUGUGCAUGUGUUACAAAUCAUAUAAUAUUGUGUUCAAUAAUAUGAGUUGGUUUGUCACGAGUUUAACAAGUUUAUUAUGUAUUUUCAUAUUGUAAAUUUAACCAUCACGUGUCUUGUCAAGUAUAAAUGUCUAGUAAUACUAAAUUCAUUGUGCAUCCGUUACAACUCUUACAAUAUUGCGCUCACUAGUACACUUUGAGUUAUGCCUAUAAUUAAAUCUAUAAAAAAAAUAUUUAUGCCUUUUAUAAGUUUCAUAUGAAACUAGUUUCUCGACGCAUGCGUCACACGUGUAUGCCUAGUCACGCAAUACAAAUUCUGUUAAAUAUUAAUAAUACUCGUUGAUAUAAAAUUGAGUGAAAUAUCUAGUACCCCCAUAGUCUAACUUCCCGGGGAUCCUAUCCCCCCCUCCCCCUCCAACCUCAAUUCUGCGUAUUUUGUCACCAUUUUUUUACUGACAUGGCACCUUUUGUGAACCAUUUUAGAUGAUGUGACACCUUUGAUAUGGGACCUCAUUUUAUUUUAUAAAGGUGUCACUCAGCACAAAAGGGUGUCAAAAAUAUUCUAAAAUUGAGUUCGGUGGGGUAAUAGGACCCCUGCGAAGUUGAAGUUUGUUGUAACAACUUUGAUCAUAGUUCGAGGAGGUAUUGAAUGUUUAUCUCAAUAAAAUUUAGAUUAAGCAAAAUUGCACAUUUAUGUAACUAAUCAAUGCAGAUCAUUAUUUGGUGACAUCUUUAUCUAAUCAAUGCAGAUCAUUAUUUGGUGACAUCUUUAUCGAGAUAAAGAUGACUGAAUGUUGCCUAAUCUAUGAAGAUGAACAAUUAAACUUUCGGAUACACGUAUUAUUUAUACUAAGCAAAAGAUAUAUCGUCACCAUUUUUAUUAUAUCGUCAAUUUACAAUUAUCAUAACAACUUCACAACCAAUCGAUUCAUACUUUUAAGAAUUUCAGUCAUUUUUAGGAAAAUCCUCAUAUUAUAUAUAUAUAUAUAUAUAUUAUAUAUAUAUUAAUUCGUUCUUCUCCCAUUAGUGAUUUCUUUACCUUGAACCUCUUCCAAUUGCUAGUACUUUUAGAACAUAAUCAAUUUUUUAAUUAUAAUUUGCUAAUUAGUAUAUGUUAUAAACCUAAAAAGGUUUUAUGGGUAAAGGAAAAUAAGAUAUAGUAAAAUUAUAAGUUAGUUUUUUAGUUUUUGUACUUUUAUUAUGACUAGUCUAACAGCACGUGCCUCGCACGUGUAACAUUUGAUUAUUUAAAAUUAAAUAAUUAUAUUUAUUGCGAAAAUUUUUAAUAAAGUGUAAAAGUUCAAAGCACUUUUCAAAAAUCUUUCAUACUUUAAUAUAAUAAUGUAAACAUAAACAUAUAUACAUAUAUAUUUUGCCACCAGAAGUCCAAGUGAUUGAUGGAACAUUAUUUUUGCAUUUGCAAUCUAGUACGUCUUUCCGUUGUUGCCAUAUACUAAGAGAGACGCAUCAAUUUGAAUCAUAUUUGCAUUAUGAUUAUUUUUAUUUUUGUUUAUAAUUAAAAUCUUUCCUUAUGUUUAAAGUUAGAUCUUUAUAAAAUAUUAAUUGCAUUCUUACUCCGUACUUAAAUUUUUUAAAAGCUGGUACUUCUUAAACUUUUCUUAUUCUAAUGGUUUUAUAUUUAUUUAUAGAUUUUUCAAAUCUUCUUAAAAUCAAAUUUAGUUGACUUGGAAUUUUUAAUCUAAUGAAAAAGUAUUAAUUGUCAUUAAUUUUGAUGACUUUUAAUAAGAAAAGAUUUUACCAAUAUUUAAUUCAUUUUCAACUCUUAAAUUAGGAAAAAAAUAGUGAAAUUCUGAUGACUUCUAAUAAAAUAGAUUUUUGCUAUAAAUAUAUUUAAUUAGUUUUCAACUCUUAAGUAUUAGGAAAAUAUAGUGAAAAGACGAUUUUGUCUAAAACAAAGACUUUUAAUGAAGGACAAAAAGUUCAAACAAUAUUUCGAAGGCCCUUCACACUUACUCUUUAAUAUAAUAAUAUAAAUAUAAAUAAAUAUUUUACAUCAUCACUUUUGUGUUUGUUAUAUAUAUAUAUAUAUAUAUAUUACAUCAUCACUUUUGCGUUUGUCAUGCUACCUCUUUCCCAGAGACGCUUUAACUUGAAUCAUACUUGUGGUACGGUUAUUUUUUAUAUGUUUAAAAUUUUUUCUUGUUUUUAAAGUCAAAUCUUUACAAAAUCAUUAAUUAUAUUCUUACUACUUACUUAAAACUUUUAAAUAUUUGGUACUUCUUAAAUUUUUCUUAUUCUAACGCUUUUAUAUUUAUUUCUAGAUUUUUCAAAUCUUCUUGAACUCAAAUUUAAUUAAUUUAGAAUUUUUAAACUAAUAAAAAAAUUAUUAGUUGUCAUUAAUGUUGAUGACUUCUAAUAAACCAUAAAUAUAUUUAAUUAAUUUUCAAUUCAUAAAUAUUAGAAAAAAUAGUGAAAGGCGUUUUUGUAUAAAACAAAGAUUUUUAAUCAAGAAUAAAAAAUUCAAACAACAUUUCUAUAGCCCUUUACACUUUUAAUAUAUAUUAGAUAUAGAUAUAUAUAUAUAGAUAGAUAGAUUAUAGAUUAUAGAUUUAUAGAUUAUAGAUAAUUAAAAAAAUAACACACAAUGUAACGCUCUAUCCCGCAAUCUCAUUUAAAUAAUCAAAGUAAUUAAAAUAUAUAUUGCACAUUUUCCAGCACCCUAAAGACCGUUUUUAGCUAAAAACAUGGCUUUGGAGAAUCCUUUUUUUCUUUUUCUUUUUAUCUUGCAUUAAUAUGCUACACAUGAAAUAGGCUGGGUUUUCUGCAUAUAUUUUUCACAAAUUAAACUUCAUCACAUACAAUCGAGUAUAUUUCUUUUUUGAAAAGAAAAUAAAAGAUUAACCAAUUCAUUCCUGAUCAUCAAAAAGAAAUAGCAUCCCUUGCGAUAUAGAGGAGGAAUGUAGCAGGUAAGUAUACAUCUUAAGAAUUAGAAGGAACAAAACCUGUAUCAAAUCAUGAUUUAGUUAUAGUAACGUAGUUGUAAGGCACUUAAUACCUCAAUAUAAAAAAUAUAAAACAUGACUCUUACAAUUACAAUUUAGAACACAUAAACUGAUCACUUACCUUAUCAAAAAGAUUUUUAGCACUAACCUUAUUUUCCACAAUUAAUUCAAGAUCUUCUCCAAUUGAGAAGUUUGAUGUCUUUCUUUCCCCGAAUAUCUAUCACAAAUAGAGAAGAUAAAUAGUAAAACACAUAAAAUUAAUUUUUUAAAAUGAUAAAAUAAAAACUAUUCAUAAAACACUUCAGAAAGAUAUCAAGAAAAUAAAAACAAAACUAAAGUCUUAGAUGUAGCAUCAAUCCUAAAAAAUGGUAAAAUAAAAUUACAUGAAUCUAUAUUAUUAACUAAAGCGAAGCAAAAGUGAGUUGAUGAAAUGAAAUUGGCAUACAAGAAAACCUUUAGGACAAAGCCUAUUUUAGUUGGAAAAUGAUUCUAUUGACCCAUUUUGGGGGUCUAUAUCUAUAUUUUUUUGGGGGGGGGGGGGAACAAGUCUAUUAGUUAGAAAAGGAUUUUGCCUAUUUUUUGGGACUUAAUGCUGCUGCACGUACAAAAAACAAAAGUAAAAACAAAGGCACGGAAUUUAAUCAUCAUACCAUAAACUUAGUAAUUUAACAGAAAAAAAUAUUAUUUUAAUGAAUUAAGGAAAUAUUUUAUCAUAAAUAUAUUUAAUUAAUUUAUAAUUUUUAAAUAUUAGAAAAAAUAGUGAAAAGACAAUUUUGUCUAAGACAAAGACUUUUAACGAAGGUCAAAAAGUUCAAACGCUAUUUCUAAGACCCUUUACACUUUUAAUAUAUUAUAGAUAUAGAUUAUAGAUUAUAGAUUAACAUUUCAAUUGAUUUACUAAUCUAGAUAAUAGAAAGCUUCAUUAAAGACGAAAGAUGAAACAAAGAGAAAACUUGAUUUAAUAACAUAGGAAUUUCAUAACCUUUUUUUGUUUUUGGAACAAAGAUAAAAGUUCAUCAUAUUAAAAGGUGUAACUGGUCAAGUCUCCUCUAGUCACAACUUUAUAUUCAAGAACUUCAAUUAUCACCUCCGUGAUAAUUAUGAGUUCAAGAACUCAUCUCUUCUAGAUCAAGGGCAACUUCUGAAAUGAACUUGAAUUGCUCGGCUUGAACAUCACCUUUUAUUUCAUUUUUAAUUUUGUCCAACCGUAAUUUAUAUGCCUCAAAUUGCUUCAACUUGUUCUCCAAUAUGUGUUUAUCUGUUGGCAGUUCUGAGCCAAGGUCUUUCUCCUUGAAUGCUUGUACUUCUUUACGAAGAUCUUCAAAUGCCUCAAAGACAUUUGUUUUGCUCAUAUCAGUAUGAUUCUGUUGGCUAUCGUUUUGUUUUAAUUCAUGAAACUUAUCAAUUAUUUUUUCUAUACUUGGGGAGCCAUAGGAAUGUGGUUUUCCAGCUUGUGUAAAGAGAAUAAAACCGACAUCUGCUCCGGUAAGAUUUGAAUAGUCUUUUGCUUUCUUGCUCAAGCCAUUUUUUCUUUUUGAAAAAGCAACUGUGCGAGCUUCUUUAGACUCAAUCAAAUUCAUUUCGAUCUUUUGCCUACCCUUUCCACCCCUUUUAUCCAUUGCGAA
Molecule: long non-coding RNA, 17751 nt
Filed under: Capsicum annuum
Lineage: Eukaryota; Viridiplantae; Streptophyta; Magnoliopsida; Solanales; Solanaceae
Description: long non-coding RNA (CANN_LNC000154)
Source: RNAcentral